RNAcentral lists this ribosomal RNA (226 nucleotides) under uncultured bacterium. Its description in RNAcentral is "partial 16S ribosomal RNA". It matches the Rfam family "Bacterial small subunit ribosomal RNA", at positions 538 to 762 of the family's 1533-position model. The record is from RNAcentral.
GCGUUGUCCGGAUUUAUUGGGCGUAAAGAGCUCGUAGGCGGUUCGGUAAGUCGGGUGUGAAAACUCUGGGCUCAACCCAGAGCCGCCACCCGAUACUGCUGUGACUCGAGUGCGGUAGGGGAGCGGGGAAUUCCUGGUGUAGCGGUGAAAUGCGCAGAUAUCAGGAGGAACACCAGUGGCGAAGGCGCCGCUCUGGGCCGUGACUGACGCUGAGGAGCGAAAGCGU